CCUACGGGAGGCUGCAGUGGGGGAUAUUGCACAAUGGGGGGAACCCUGAUGCAGCGACGCCGCGUGGGUGAAGGAGUGCUUCGGCAUGUAAAGCCCUAUCGGCAGGGAAGAAGCAAGACGGUACCUGACUAAGAAGCCCCGGCUAACUACGUGCCAGCAGCCGCGGUAAUACGUAGGGGGCGAGCGUUAUCCGGAUUCACUGGGUGUAAAGGGAGCGUAGACGGCCAUGCAAGCCAGGGGUGAAAGCCCGGGGCCCAACCCCGGGACUGCCCUUGGAACUGCAUGGCUGGAGUGCGGGAGGGGCAGGCGGAAUUCCUGGUGUAGCGGUGAAAUGCGUAGAUAUCAGGAGGAACACCGGCGGCGAAGGCGGCCUGCUGGACCGCGACUGACGUUGAGGCUCGAAAGCGUGGGGAGUGAACAGGAUUAGAUACCCCAGUAGUC
This 441-nucleotide ribosomal RNA is filed under the name uncultured bacterium. RNAcentral's name for it is "partial 16S ribosomal RNA". It matches the Rfam family "Bacterial small subunit ribosomal RNA", at positions 338 to 795 of the family's 1533-position model. The record is from RNAcentral.